ACCACCACCACCACCACCACCAACACCGUCUGACCAGCAGAGCUCUGGAAGUGACCGCCUCGUUAUUGAUACAGAGGAGGAGGAAAUGGGGGAGCCUUCAGGCCAGCCUGAUGUCACUUACGUGGACUCUGAUUCGUCGGAGCCGCCACAGUAUAUGAUUAUUGACAGUGAUGAGGAAGGGGAUGAGGAAGGGGAGAAAAAGCCCUCUCCCCAACUUGGUAAGUAAACUAAAGUAUUGUAC
This is a long non-coding RNA of Pseudophryne corroboree (corroboree frog), 241 nucleotides long. RefSeq lists it as uncharacterized. The transcript has 4 exons. The record is from RefSeq and is a predicted model, not a curated record. NCBI's taxonomy places the organism in Eukaryota, Metazoa, Chordata, Amphibia, Anura, Myobatrachidae.